GGUGGUUUUCGGGUGACACACCACAGAAUUGGGCUUCCUCCCCUCUGGUUCCCGGUGUGUCACUUGGCAGCUCCU
This is a non-coding RNA of Myotis brandtii (Brandt's bat), 75 nucleotides long. The record is from Rfam. Lineage: Eukaryota; Metazoa; Chordata; Mammalia; Chiroptera; Vespertilionidae.